UACGUAGGGGGCAAGCGUUGUCCGGAAUUAUUGGGCGUAAAGAGCGUGUAGGCGGUUCGAUAAGUCUGCUGUGAAAGUCCAGGGCUCAACCCUGGAAUGCCGGUGGAUACUGUUGAACUAGAGUCCGGAAGAGGCGAGUGGAAUUCCUGGUGUAGCGGUGAAAUGCGCAGAUAUCAGGAGGAACACCAAUAGCGAAGGCAGCUCGCUGGGACGGAACUGACGCUGAGACGCGAAAGCGUGGGGAGCAAACAGG
RNAcentral lists this ribosomal RNA (253 nucleotides) under uncultured bacterium. RNAcentral's name for it is "partial 16S ribosomal RNA". It matches the Rfam family "Bacterial small subunit ribosomal RNA", at positions 524 to 776 of the family's 1533-position model. The record is from RNAcentral.